AGUGGUGAUCUGUCAGAAGUGGAUGCUGGGAACCAAACAGGUUCACAGAAAGAGCCAUCUUUCCAGCCUUAUUAAUGGGAAACUUUCAAUAACACGCUGAACCAUUCAUCAUUUCCAAAUUUCUCCUGAAGAAGCAAAAUAGAAAGAACACUUGUUAAUUCUACUUUACUUCCUGUUCCAUCGCUGUGAGAAGACAUCAUGAUCAAAACAAUUUAUGCAAGGAAGGGUUGAGACUUGGGAUUCUAGAUGGUUAAGAAUCCAUCACAAGUACAUACGGGAGCAUCGCAGCAAGCACCAGGUAUGGCGGCAUAAGCAACUAAGAGCUCAUGCCUCUAACAGCAAACGUGAAGUAGAACGGACAAACCAGGAAAUAGCCAAUGGCUGGCUUCCAUCAGCAAAGCCAUACGUCCUAAACCUCCCCAAACAGAACAACUGGGAACCAAGUAUUGAAAUGGCCCAGCAUAUGAAAGGCAGCUCAUUCAAACCACCCCAUGAAGUGAAACAGUUAUGGUAUGCCAUGUAAUUAUACGGAUGUGAAAUCUUAAUCAGGAAAGUCAAACUCAAUUUCCAUCUUCCACGUUUGACUGUGCCACUUACUACCUGGUGAGCUGCUUCCUAAAAAGAGAGUAUUGGAAACUGGGUAUGGUGGGAGGCAGAAGCAGGCAGAUCUCAAUGACUUCAAGGCCAUCCAGAAGGGCAUUCCAUCUUGUUAACAAAAGGGGUAACUGUGCGGUCCACUUGUCUGAUUAUCUCACUCUAUUCAUCACAGGGUUUUUGUAAAUCUGAAUAUUUAUUCUAAAAUAAAACGGUUUUAAAUCAUGCUAAUUCAUUAAAAAUAAAAAUGACAAGCUG
This 852-nucleotide long non-coding RNA is filed under the name Rattus norvegicus (Norway rat). RNAcentral describes it as "long non-coding RNA NONRATT023105". The record is from RNAcentral. Lineage: Eukaryota; Metazoa; Chordata; Mammalia; Rodentia; Muridae.